RNAcentral lists this ribosomal RNA (539 nucleotides) under uncultured bacterium. RNAcentral's name for it is "partial 16S ribosomal RNA". The record is from RNAcentral.
AACUUCACGCGUUAGCUACGGUACUAAAUGGUUUUACCCACCCAACACCUAGUUGACAUCGUUUAGGGCGUGGACUACCAGGGUAUCUAAUCCUGUUUGCUACCCACGCUUUCGUGCAUGAGCGUCAGUAUCGGCCCAGGGGGCUGCCUUCGCCAUCGGUGUUCCUCCACAUCUCUACGCAUUUCACUGCUACACGUGGAAUUCCACCCCCCUCUGCCGUACUCUAGCUGUGCAGUCACAAGCGCAGUUCCCAGGUUGAGCCCGGGGAUUUCACGCCUGUCUUACACAACCGCCUGCGCACGCUUUACGCCCAGUAAUUCCGAUUAACGCUCGCACCCUACGUAUUACCGCGGCUGCUGGCACGUANUUAGCCGGUGCUUCUUAUUCCGGUACCGUCAUCCACACCAGGUAUUAGCUGAUGCGAUUUCUUCCCGGCCGAAAGAGCUUUACAACCCGAAGGCCUUCUUCACUCACGCGGACAUGGCUGGAUCAGGGUUGCCCCCCAUUGUCCAAAAUUCCNACUGCUGCCUCCCGUUAGG